RNAcentral lists this transfer RNA (64 nucleotides) under Erpobdella japonica. Its description in RNAcentral is "tRNA-Pro". Lineage: Eukaryota; Metazoa; Annelida; Clitellata; Hirudinida; Erpobdellidae. The record is from RNAcentral.
CAGAAAAUAGUUUAAAAUAAAAUACUGAUUUUGGGUAUCAAUGAUCUUAAUAUAAGUUUUCUGA